CCUACGGGCGGCUGCAGUGGGGAAUAUUGGACAAUGGGGGCAACCCUGAUCCAGCCAUGCCGCGUGUGUGAAGAAGGCCCUCGGGUUGUAAAGCACUUUCAGUGAGGAAGAACGCCUGGUGGUUAAUACCCAUCAGGAAAGACAUCACUCACAGAAGAAGCACCGGCUAACUCCGUGCCAGCAGCCGCGGUAAUACGGAGGGUGCGAGCGUUAAUCGGAAUUACUGGGCGUAAAGCGCGCGUAGGUGGCUUGAUAAGCCGGUUGUGAAAGCCCCGGGCUCAACCUGGGAACGGCAUCCGGAACUGUCAAGCUAGAGUGCAGGAGAGGAAGGUAGAAUUCCCGGUGUAGCGGUGAAAUGCGUAGAGAGCGGGAGGAAUACCAGUGGCGAAGGCGGCCUUCUGGACUGACACUGACACUGAGGUGCGAAAGCGUGGGUAGCAAACAGGAUUAGAUACCCCGGUAGUC
RNAcentral lists this ribosomal RNA (465 nucleotides) under Vreelandella stevensii. RNAcentral describes it as "partial 16S ribosomal RNA". It matches the Rfam family "Bacterial small subunit ribosomal RNA", at positions 338 to 795 of the family's 1533-position model. Lineage: Bacteria; Pseudomonadati; Pseudomonadota; Gammaproteobacteria; Oceanospirillales; Halomonadaceae. The record is from RNAcentral.